GUUUUUCUCUAGUACCUAUCGAACCAACCCUCUGCAUAUAUUUAUCAGAAAAUACUCUUGGUUUCUUUUGAACUGGUUGUUGAGGUGAAAAUUCUUGCAAACCCAUCAACCUUGCAACAACACUUGGAGAAGGCUUCCUGGAUUCCAUAUGAACCAAUUUGAUUCUAAACUAUAUAACCUCUCCUUAGAAUACUAGAAUCCACCUGAUCAGAUCAAAGAGAAUUGGCAUAUAAGGAGACGAAAUCAAUGGUUCGAAUCUGCAGACAAAAUGCUUUAACGGAUCAAGUUACUUAAAGAAAAGAAGAAAAAGCAACUCUAGCUAAACGAUAACAGGUCAGAUUUUCCAUUUUCAAUACAUGAAAUGGUUUAUAUUACUUAAAUGUGAGCAAUAUGAAGGUUCCAUUAUGCUGAUAGAGAGCCGAAAAUAGAAACACAGCGAACUCCAGACAACACAGAAAAGGAUACGGAAGGUUUAGGAAUCCAGGAAGAGAGAAGCAAUUCAUAAGAUCAAAUGUAUUAAACCUAUAAAGCCAAAAAAGGGUUUCUAGAAAUCCAAUAAAUACCAGACCCCAUCAGCAUCGCUGAGUGUCAAAAUCAAUAAGCAUGCAGAAACAGAAUCAUAUAGCGAGGCAUCUUUGAACUGACAGAACGAUAUAAGGGAAAAUAAGUAAUAAUCCAGACCAAUCAAAACCUACUUUUAUCAUGUCCCUUAAUAGCAGCCCUAAUAAUUAGAAAAGCAAAAUAAUGAUUCUCUGCAUCCCACUGCGUCAGAUUUCCCCUCUAUUUAAAAUCUUGAUAACUUCUCACGCAAAAUCGAGAAGAAUAUUGGCAGAAUUGAAGAACAAGAACCCAGAAAAAAAUGACAAGAGAUAUUGAAAGUGGAGAAUUUGCGUACCUUUGCUUAAGAUAAGAAAUACUGUGGCAAUUGGUAGAAUACCCAGAAGCGAAUCUCCUAAGUAGGAAGCUAUAACUCGGGUCAAACCAAAAUGAGCAAAACUUUUCUCCUCUCCUCAGUUACAGAUUCACUGUAACAAAUCCUGACGUAGAUACGUAGAAGAAAUGAAUAAGAGGAACAGAGCCAGCGGAGUGGAAGA
This 1094-nucleotide long non-coding RNA is filed under the name Linum usitatissimum (flax). RNAcentral describes it as "long non-coding RNA (LUSI_LNC002200)". The record is from RNAcentral. Lineage: Eukaryota; Viridiplantae; Streptophyta; Magnoliopsida; Malpighiales; Linaceae.